AACAGACAAACCCCAGCCCUGAGGGCUGGUUUGGAGGAAGGCUGGGUUUCGGCUAGGGUUUUCACUCCUGCGCCCAGACCUGCGGCUCCUGCGCCCUGAGCCCGGCAGAGGGCGCUGCGCCCACGCGCGUCCCCAGCUCCCCAGCGCCGGCCGGGAAGUGGGGCCGUGGCACCCAGGCCGGGCGGACGCGAAUGGUGACACGUGGCCGAGGUCGGAAGCCGUGAGGUCUGGCGUCAGCGCCCGGUGGAAAACAAAGUGCUUCUGCUGGGCAGGCCGGAGUAACCGAGGUCAGGUGCCUGACUCCUACAAGUCAAGAUGCUCUUGGGUGAAGGUCCUAACCCUGGGUGAUGCGGUCUGAUGAAGUCUACACCCCUGAAGUAAGCAGACGAGAGGCUGCUAGGAUGUUGCACUGUCCUCUCUACUUUGAGAGGAGCACAGUGUCAGUCGGACUUUUAUCACGUACCUCUCGUCCCUUCUGUGGACUGUUUGCAUAAUGGAAACUUCCUGUCUGUAUCUUCAGCAUCUGAUUGUCCACUGUUGCUCAAGUGCAUGUGGCCAUGCUUCACUGACUCAUAUCUGAUGCCUCUGAUAGAACCAGUGACUGUGGAAUGGAAAGAAGACGGCAUGGAAAGCCCAGCGAGUGUCCCACGGGCCUGCCCUGCGGCUUUCUGCUGAUUCUUCAGGACAAGUUGCAAGAAGUUUAAUUUUCAGAACGAGCAGUUCUGUUCACUUUCCUUAUUUGUGCUGCAUUGGAAAAAGGACACAGUGUGUGAUAAAGCAGAAGGGCACGGGGUGUGGCCAGUGUCCUAGGCCAGCGCUGGCAAACCCACGGCACCUGUGCUUAGCCGGCUGCUUGUCACUGCUGGGAGCUCUGAGAGUUUUGCCAUCACUGGGCCAUUCUUUGCAAGGGCCCAUCAGCCCCACAUCUGCGGCCAGCCAAGGCCUGGCGGUGAAACAGCUGAGUCACAACUUUGCUGCUCCUCUACAAUUACAAGGUUAUCACUUCAUCUGACACAGAAGGGGUGUGGGGUGGAGACAAAACACACGUCAGGAAGAAGCGCAGAAGCGCAUGGAAAACAGAAAGCUGCUUUCCCAAAACUGUAGCUUAAGUUAUAAAACCCAGAGCAAUCGUCUCCCCUUUCCACCCCCUACUCAAUGGGAGAUGAAAACACAAAGUAAAUGGCACCAUAAAUUUCUCGGCCUAGCAACGCAUCUUGUAGUUACUGUGCCUCGAGUUCUCGGCAGCUGUGACCGCUCCUGCACGGUGCCGGCUGCCGUAUUCCUUCCCUUCUCCCGCUUUGCUGGCGAUCUCGCUGUCUCUCAGCACCUUAUUCUGAAUCACCUUCACUAGGAAGUGUGUUUGCCCCCUGUCUUGUCCUUUAGGGUAUUAAAAAGAAGAUUGUUGUUCUUAGGCCCUUCCCUGGAUAUGCCAGCUGUCUGCAUGGAGACCCAGCUGACUCCGAUUUCUUCCGGGGCAGAGGUAAUACCUUGGGAUGCAUUUUUAUCCACCUGCUUCUUCCUUCGCAUGGGCCAGCUGCAGUAUCAGCAACACCCAGUGUCAUCUCUAGCCACUGCCAGCCUUAUCUCCUCCCAGCUAAGCUAAGCACAAGCCCCCUUCCUUCACCCCAUGUGAACGCCACCCCCCCAAUAGCCAGGGCAUGCACACUAAUUAAAUUUUAUAUUCCACCUCUACCCAAACAUGACCUUGCCGAAGUCUCUCCCAUUAGAUGACAAAUCCUGGUGUUUCUAUUGCACGGUUGCUAUUUGCCACAUGCUUCCUGGAUGGGUUUCCAGGUAACCUUAAUGGUUGUGUGCUUCUAGGGAAGGAGGGGGAGAAAAUAACUCACCUCUUCAGUAAGUGGUUUUAAAAAUAUAACAGCAUUUAAAAGCUUUUAAAGAGCAUUUCUUUCCUUCCGGCUGCUCCGGCCCUGUUUGUUUUGUGACAGGCGCACCUGUGGUGCUUGUGAGUUUGGCAGCCUCUGGCUAGGGCAGCAGGCAGUUUGAAAGGACAGAGGAUUGAUUUUUGUCUUUGUAGGGCUUUCCAUGAGGGGUGUGGGAGAGGAAUUGCUUGGGGAAGUGCUGGUCAGGGAGGGGUACUUCUCCAUAUGCUCUUCCUUCAUGGGUAAGGCUAAGCAGCGUCUGACUCAGCCUGCGGAGCUGUUUGUCCUGGAAGUCCCAAGGAGGUGGCGGAGAGCGGGAAAGCAAGGGUUUGGGGCUCCCACAGCUUUUCUGCCCACUUUCAUUUCUCCUAAACUUGCUGGGGAAGUGCACCCAAAUUGCUCCUGUGUUUCGAUUUGAUGUGGCUGCAGAGGGACCGGGCACAGCUGGAUUCCAUGCUUCAGACUAAGCCUGACCGUCCCAUUGGAAACUGGAAGGUUUCGCCUCUUCCAGGGCUUAGGGUUUACUUUCCCCGCAGCAUUGAGCAAGGACCUCAUGUUUACAGAGAUCCCAGGUGUACUGGUUUCUUCCUGUCAGAGCAGAGAGAGGAGGAAGAGGGUCAGGGUGUGGAGGAGAUUUCACAACUGUCUUGGGGACAUAUUGGUGGAGUCGUGAAAAUAUACUUUAAAAAUACUCACAAUAAGCCAAAUCAUUAUAUCUUCUGUGUAUAGUUUUAUUUUUUCCAAAGCUAUUCGUAGCACCAUAAAAAAAAAUCCUGUAUACUAAAUGCUCUCUGAGAAA
This is a long non-coding RNA of Cavia porcellus (domestic guinea pig), 2679 nucleotides long. RefSeq lists it as uncharacterized. The record is from RefSeq and is a predicted model, not a curated record. Lineage: Eukaryota; Metazoa; Chordata; Mammalia; Rodentia; Caviidae. The transcript is spliced from 2 exons.